AUUGAACGCUGGCGGCAUGCCUUACACAUGCAAGUCGAACGGUAACGGGCCUUCGGGUGCCGACGAGUGGCGAACGGGUGAGUAAUACAUCGGAACGUGCCCGAUCGUGGGGGAUAACGAGGCGAAAGCUUUGCUAAUACCGCAUACGAUCUACGGAUGAAAGCAGGGGACCGCAAGGCCUUGCGCGGACGGAGCGGCCGAUGGCAGAUUAGGUAGUUGGUGGGAUAAAAGCUUACCAAGCCGACGAUCUGUAGCUGGUCUGAGAGGAUGAUCAGCCACACUGGGAGUGGGGCACGGGCCGGGCGCCUAGGGGAGGGAGCAGUGGGGAAUUGUGGACAAUGGGGGGAAGCCUGAUGCAGCCAGGCGGGGGGGAGGAUGAAGGCGUUGGGGUGGUAAGCUGGUUUUGGAGGGAAGGAAGAGCCUUCGUUUGAUACGGGAGGGUCGUGACGGUACCGUAAGAGUAAGCACCGGCUAACUACGUG
RNAcentral lists this ribosomal RNA (482 nucleotides) under uncultured bacterium. Its description in RNAcentral is "partial 16S ribosomal RNA". It matches the Rfam family "Bacterial small subunit ribosomal RNA", at positions 29 to 507 of the family's 1533-position model. The record is from RNAcentral.